UAAUACGGAGGGUGCAAGCGUUAAUCGGAAUUACUGGGCGUAAAGCGCACGCAGGCGGUUUGUUAAGUCAGAUGUGAAAUCCCCGAGCUUAACUUGGGAACUGCAUUUGAAACUGGCAAGCUAGAGUCUUGUAGAGGGGGGUAGAAUUCCAGGUGUAGCGGUGAAAUGCGUAGAGAUCUGGAGGAAUACCGGUGGCGAAGGCGGCCCCCUGGACAAAGACUGACGCUCAGGUGCGAAAGCGUGGGGAGCAAACAGGAUUAGAUACCCUGGUAGUCCACGCUGUAAACGAUGUCGACUUGGAGGUUGUGCCCUUGAGGCGUGUCUUCCGGAGCUAACGCGUUAAGUCGACCGCCUGGGGAGUACGGCCGCAAGGUUAAA
This 378-nucleotide ribosomal RNA is filed under the name uncultured bacterium. RNAcentral describes it as "bacterial SSU rRNA". It matches the Rfam family "Bacterial small subunit ribosomal RNA", at positions 521 to 898 of the family's 1533-position model. The record is from RNAcentral.